RNAcentral lists this ribosomal RNA (253 nucleotides) under uncultured bacterium. Its description in RNAcentral is "partial 16S ribosomal RNA". It matches the Rfam family "Bacterial small subunit ribosomal RNA", at positions 524 to 776 of the family's 1533-position model. The record is from RNAcentral.
UACGUAGGGCGCAAGCGUUGUCCGGAUUUAUUGGGCGUAAAGGGCUCGUAGGCGGUCUGUUGCGUCGGGAGUGAAAACUUACAGCUUAACUGUGAGCGUGCUUCCGAUACGGGCAGACUUGAGGUAUUCAGGGGAGAACGGAAUUCCUGGUGUAGCGGUGAAAUGCGCAGAUAUCAGGAGGAACACCGGUGGCGAAGGCGGUUCUCUGGGAAUGACCUGACGCUGAGGAGCGAAAGUGUGGGGAGCGAACAGG